RNAcentral lists this unclassified non-coding RNA (359 nucleotides) under soil metagenome. RNAcentral's name for it is "partial contains 5.8S ribosomal RNA, internal transcribed spacer 2, and large subunit ribosomal RNA". The stretch from base 1 to 120 matches the Rfam family "5.8S ribosomal RNA", at positions 35 to 154 of the family's 154-position model. The record is from RNAcentral.
GAUGAAGAACGUAGUGAAAUGCGAUAAGUAAUGCGAAUUGCAGAAUUCAGUGAAUCAUCGAAUCUUUGAACGCACAUUGCGCCCGCCAGUAUUCUGGCGGGCAUGCCUGUCUGAGCGUCGUUUCGACCCUCGCGCCCGGCUUCUGUCGGGGGCGGUGUUGGGGAUCGGCCACACCCUUCAGUGGGAGGCCGGCCCCUAAAUUCAGUGGCGACCACGCUGUAGCCUCCCCUGCGUAGUACUAAAACCACCUCGCAGGCGGAGAGCGGUGCGGCCCGCCGUAAAACCCCCCAACUUUUACAAGGUCGACCUCAGAUCAGGUAGGAAUACCCGCUGAACUUAAGCAUAUCAAUAAGCGAGGA